This 57-nucleotide ribosomal RNA is filed under the name Agrilus viridis. Its description in RNAcentral is "partial 16S ribosomal RNA". The record is from RNAcentral. Lineage: Eukaryota; Metazoa; Arthropoda; Insecta; Coleoptera; Buprestidae.
CUAAUAUUCAAAAAAAAGCUAAUUUAACCAAUAUUUGGUCCUUUCGUACUAAAAUAU